This 382-nucleotide ribosomal RNA is filed under the name uncultured bacterium. RNAcentral describes it as "bacterial SSU rRNA". It matches the Rfam family "Bacterial small subunit ribosomal RNA", at positions 29 to 414 of the family's 1533-position model. The record is from RNAcentral.
AUUAAACGCUGGCGGCAUGCCUUACACAUGCAAGUCGAACGGCAGCACGGGGGCAACCCUGGUGGCGAGUGGCGAACGGGUGAGUAAAGCAUCGGAACGUGCCCUGGAGUGGGGGAUAACGUAGCGAAAGUUACGCUAAUACCGCAUAUUCUGUGAGCAGGAAAGCAGGGGAUCGCAAGACCUUGCGCUCUGGGAGCGGCCGAUGUCGGAUUAGCUAGUUGGUGGGUAAAGGCCUACCAAGGCGACGAUCCGUAGCGGGUCUGAGAGGAUGAUCGCCACACUGGGACUGAGACACGGCCCAGACUCCUACGGGAGGCAGCAGUGGGGAAUUUUGGACAAUGGGCGAAAGCCUGAUCCAGCCAUGCCGCGUGAGUGAAGAAGG